GAGAGUUAAGAGACCUGGAUUCCUGUCCAAAUUCAGCCACUUAAUUAGUUUUCUCUAUCUCAAACCAUGAAAACAAAGGAUACCACUGAACAAGCAUUAUGUCAUAUUUGUCACAUUAUGCCACAUUUAGUCGGCACUGUUCCUUUCCUUCCAUCCCAGCAUGAGUUGAAACUUUACUGAGCAUACUGGAGCCUUUGAGAAAGUCAAAUAAAGAGCAACCCUCUUCUCCAUUGAAGUUCUGAACCAACCAAUAAAGCAAAAGAGUUAGCAGAUUUCAAGGCAUCUGCAUAGUGUACCCUGAGUCAAGUUUUGGUUGGCAGUGUCAAGAUGGCUGCACUGCUCCUCGCUGUGUUCAAGUUAGAAAGAGGCAUUGUGGUGUGACAAGUAAAGGCUCUGUGGCUUGGGAAUCAAAGCACCUGUGUUCAAGUUUCAAUGACACCUGUUUCUACUUGUGCCAUCCUAGGGGUAUGUGUUAGCAGCUCUGAAACUACAUGUAUAAUAAGGUCAAACCAAGAAAAUAUAUUGCAGAUAAUGAAAGCCAGGCUUCUCCCUGUCAGAGAAAGAAGUUGACAAACAAGAAAAAGUUCUCUGAGAGCAAGGACAAGAUGCCAUUCCCCCAGGAUGCCUGGAUCAGUCAGGGUCACAAGCCUGUCCAGAGCGAUUGUCUCCUUUUCACAGACUAAACAACACUAAGUUGCAUUCACAUCAAAGCAGCUAAUCUCCUGAUGUCCCAAGAUACCACAUCCGUUCAGAACAGCCCUGUGGGCGAGACCCUGACAAGGUUGGCUCCAUGCGGUCCGGUUUGCACAAGGCUUCGGGGUGGUCACAGUACCUGAGAGGGGUACGUACUAUCACAGGAAGGCCCCAGGCAGUGCCGCCAGGAAGAGGGUUUCUUCCCCGGUUCGCGGCAUCUCUCAGCCACCGUCUUGCAGCUCCUCGUGUGGACAUAGUCCACCUUCCGAGACUGGAAGCUCUGACCACAGGCUGACGUACAGGGUCUCCAAGGGCCUGCGCGCCAACAUGCGUCACAAGCCCCCGACAAGCAGUUCCUCCAAAAGGUGGGUCUGAAAUGAGAAAAACAAACAAAAAAGUGGACAACAGGAGAAAGUGGGGUGUCACUUCUUGCUGGGAUCAAGCCUUUUACUGUACUGUACUUUCCGUAUAGCAAAGGCUUGACAAUUCGGACCUUAUUCAACAGGAAACUCAUCUGCAUUGCUCCUGGCUGACUAAGCAAAGUGGUGGAGGAAUCACAACCUCAGUAGAGGCGAGCAAACCACGUGUUUCCAUGAGCCUCCAGCACCACAUCAAGGCACGCACCUCAAAAGACACAGUCUCCUGAUGAGCUGGAGCAGAUCGAUUUAGGCAAGGAAGAGAAGAAUGACACAUUUGUUAACAAACUAAGACAGGGCCAGUGGGAAGUCAGAAGAAACUAUGUAGCUUCCUAAACAUGAAAGAUGAGAGAGGCACAAGGAGCUAGAGACCAAGGCAGAUGCUGAAACCCAGGAGGCUGGUCAUUGAGGAUGCAGCGAAAGAGUGCAAGGU
Molecule: non-coding RNA, 1542 nt
Organism: Kogia breviceps (pygmy sperm whale)
Lineage: Eukaryota; Metazoa; Chordata; Mammalia; Artiodactyla; Physeteridae
Source: RefSeq, a predicted model, not a curated record